CUGAGAGAAACAAGCAUAUACUUCGUAACGAGAUAGCUGUUUACAUUAUUUCCAAACCGAACACGGUAGGAUCAAUUUAUGUACAACAAUAGUGAUUCGAUCUCGAAUCAUCGAAGGCCUGAGCUGACAAGGUACAUUUGGUGCAAUCAGUUUGCGCCUGAGCUGACAAGGUGCAUUUGGUGCAAUCAGUUUGCGUGCAAUUGCGCUUCCUUGCUGGUAAGCGGCACAUAGCGCACAGAUGUCUCGUCUCUUAUGCUGACUGUGCCAUCCAGCUUCUUGUCCACCACCUUGAGCUCCUGGAAGACUGUCCCUACCGGGAU
This 320-nucleotide long non-coding RNA is filed under the name Setaria italica (foxtail millet). RNAcentral describes it as "long non-coding RNA (SITA_LNC004864)". The record is from RNAcentral. Lineage: Eukaryota; Viridiplantae; Streptophyta; Magnoliopsida; Poales; Poaceae.